AGGACGAACGCUGGCGGCGUGCUUAACACAUGCAAGUCGAGCGGAAAGGCCCUUCGGGGUACUCGAGCGGCGAACGGGUGAGUAACACGUGAGUAAUCUGCCCCUAGCUCUGGGAUAGCUCCGGGAAACCGGGAUUAAUACCGGAUACGACCACCUUAGACAUCUUUUGUGGUGGAAAGAAUUUCGGCUAGGGAUGAGCUCGCGGCCUAUCAGCUUGUUGGUGGGGUAACGCCUACCAAGGCGACGACGGGUAGCCGGCCUGAGAGGGCGACCGGCCACACUGGGACUGAGACACGGCCCAGACUCCUACGGGAGGCAGCAGUGGGGAUAUUGCGCAAUGGGCGAAAGCCUGACGCAGCGACGCCGCGUGGGGGAUGAAGGCCUUCGGGUUGUAAACCCCUUUCAGCAGGGACGAAGCGAAAGUGACGGUACCUGCAGAAGAAGCGCCGGCUAACUACGCGCCAGCAGCCGC
RNAcentral lists this ribosomal RNA (472 nucleotides) under uncultured bacterium. RNAcentral's name for it is "SSU rRNA". It matches the Rfam family "Bacterial small subunit ribosomal RNA", at positions 26 to 518 of the family's 1533-position model. The record is from RNAcentral.